UAGAGUUGUAAAACUCCCAAACCCAUGUGAACAUACCUGUUGCCUCGGCGGCCUACCCGGCAGCUACCCUGUAGCUACCCUGUAGUCCGCCGAAGGAUUUCAAAACUCUUGUUUUCCAAUGUGGUUAAUUCUGAGUAAAUCUUGAAAUAAAUCA
This 154-nucleotide unclassified non-coding RNA is filed under the name uncultured Xylariales. Its description in RNAcentral is "sequence contains ITS1". The record is from RNAcentral. Lineage: Eukaryota; Fungi; Ascomycota; Sordariomycetes; Xylariales.